RNAcentral lists this ribosomal RNA (818 nucleotides) under uncultured Bacillota bacterium. RNAcentral describes it as "bacterial SSU rRNA". It matches the Rfam family "Bacterial small subunit ribosomal RNA", at positions 73 to 896 of the family's 1533-position model. Lineage: Bacteria; Bacillati; Bacillota. The record is from RNAcentral.
GGGGGGGCAACUCCCUGAGUAAAGCGGCGCACGGGUGAGUAACACGUGGGUAAUCUGCCCUGGAGUGGGGAAUAACACCGGGAAACCGGUGCUAAUACCGCAUACGAUAGCGAGGUCUGCGGAUCUUGCGAUGAAAGGAGCAAUUCGCUCUAGGAGGAGCCCGCGGCUGAUUAGCUAGUUGGUGAGGUAACGGCUCACCAAGGCUACGAUCAGUAUCCGGUCUGAGAGGACGGUCGGACACACUGGAACUGAGACACGGUCCAGACUCCUACGGGAGGCAGCAGUGGGGAAUUUUUGGCAAUGGGGGCAACCCUGACCAAGCAACGCCGCGUGGGUGAUGAAGUCUCUUGGGACGUAAAACCCUUUCGACGGGGAAGAAAACCGCAAGGUUUGACGGUACCCGUAGAAGAAGCCCCGGCUAACUCCGUGCCAGCAGCCGCGGUAAUACGGGGGGGCGAGCGUUGUUCGGAAUUACUGGGCGUAAAGGGCGCGUAGGCGGUUCGCUAAGUUGGAUGUGAAAACUCUGGGCUCAACCCAGAGCCUGCAUCCAAAACUGGCGGGCUAGAGUUCUGGAGGGGGUAGCGGAAUUCCUGGUGUAGCGGUGAAAUGCGUAGAUAUCAGGAGGAACACCGGUGGCGAAGGCGGCUACCUGGACAGAAACUGACGCUGAGGCGCGAAAGCUAGGGGAGCAAACAGGAUUAGAUACCCUGGUAGUCCUAGCCCUAAACGAUGGAUACUUGGUGUGACUGGGAUUGAAUCCAGUCGUGCCGAAGCUAACGCAUUAAGUAUCCCGCCUGGGGAGUACGGUCGCAAGGCUG